GCGCCAUCACCACAGACAACGCCGUCGUCUCUUCACCCAACGGAUUCAUCCUCGUACAAGACUGAAGUAAAGGUGAAAUGACUAUAACGUUAAGGUAAGCUCUGACCUUCACUUAAGUUAACGUUACGGUUAGUCACCAUCAUGUAUGUUAAUUUUGUUCACCGUAACGUUAACGUUAAGUUAGUUAAAUAAACUAAACUCAUUAUGAAACAAGUCUUAACUGUUUUAUUAAAUGAGGCUUAUAAUACAAUUCAGUUGUAUUCUUUUAAACUAACACUAACACAGUACAUAUUGUAUAUUUCUCACUGGUGUUAAUGCAGUGCUAAAAUUUACUAAUGAGGACUAAUUGUAUAUUGUCACUAACUGUAGAUUUUAUUUUUUGGUGUUCAGGUGUACCUGAUAAUAGCUAAAGUGUGAGCCACUGAUGUUGAAACACUGAUGCUACCAAUCAACCCUCUCUUGAUUAUUAAAGGUAAUGUUGAACCUUCCUCAUUUUUAUUAGAUUUUUAAAUGUCAGGUUUUUC
Molecule: long non-coding RNA, 524 nt
Filed under: Danio rerio (zebrafish)
Lineage: Eukaryota; Metazoa; Chordata; Actinopteri; Cypriniformes; Danionidae
Description: si:dkey-157o17.2 (ENSDARG00000092245.3)
Source: RNAcentral